GGCAAUUUUUGAGAACAUCGAUGUUUUACACUUUAGUCGUCCCUCCAUAUAAAUUUUUCCUGGUUUCGCCCUUGGAUACCACGUCACAAAAUACAUACAUAAUUUUUUUUUCGAGCAGGAGGGUUGUAGAGAGAGAGAACAUGAAGAAAAACAAGAAACUCGCACAAGAUAAAGAGUCAAUGAGGUGCGCCACCAAGGAUUGUUGGACGUGUAUUGACAUAAAAGUAGCUCGCCAUCUCCAACCUUCAUCAAGACAACCGAAUGGAGCUAUAUGGUU
RNAcentral lists this long non-coding RNA (277 nucleotides) under Brachypodium distachyon (stiff brome). RNAcentral's name for it is "long non-coding RNA (BDIS_LNC004503)". The record is from RNAcentral. Lineage: Eukaryota; Viridiplantae; Streptophyta; Magnoliopsida; Poales; Poaceae.